GACGAACGCUGGCGGCGUGCUUAACACAUGCAAGUCGAACGGAAAGGCCCUGCUUUUGUGGGGUGCUCGAGUGGCGAACGGGUGAGUAACACGUGAGUAACCUGCCCUUGACUUUGGGAUAACUUCAGGAAACUGGGGCUAAUACCGGAUAGGAGCUCCUGCUGCAUGGUGGGGGUUGGAAAGUUUCGGCGGUUGGGGAUGGACUCGCGGCUUAUCAGCUUGUUGGUGGGGUAGUGGCUUACCAAGGCUUUGACGGGUAGCCGGCCUGAGAGGGUGACCGGCCACAUUGGGACUGAGAUACGGCCCAGACUCCUACGGGAGGCAGCAGUGGGGAAUAUUGCACAAUGGGCGGAAGCCUGAUGCAGCAACGCCGCGUGCGGGAUGACGGCCUUCGGGUUGUAAACCGCUUUCGCCUGUGACGAAGCGUGAGUGACGGUAAUGGGUAAAGAAGCACCGGCUAACUACGUGCCAGCAGCCGCGGUGAUACGUAGGGUGCGAGCGUUGUCCGGAUUUAUUGGGCGUAAAGGGCUCGUAGGUGGUUGAUCGCGUCGGAAGUGUAAUCUUGGGGCUUAACCCUGAGCGUGCUUUCGAUACGGGUUGACUUGAGGAAGGUAGGGGAGAAUGGAAUUCCUGGUGGAGCGGUGGAAUGCGCAGAUAUCAGGAGGAACACCAGUGGCGAAGGCGGUUCUCUGGGCCUUUCCUGACGCUGAGGAGCGAAAGCGUGGGGAGCGAACAGGCUUAGAUACCCUGGUAGUCCACGCUGUAAACGGUGGGUACUAGGUGUGGGGUCCAUUCCACGGGUUCCGUGCCGUAGCUAACGCUUUAAGUACCCCGCCUGGGGAGUACGGCCGCAAGGCUAAAACUCAAAGGAAUUGACGGGGCCCCGCACAAGCGGCGGAGCAUGCGGAUUAAUUCGAUGCAACGCGUAGAACCUUACCUGGGUUUGACAUGGAUCGGGAGUGCUCAGAGAUGGGUGUGCCUCUUUUGGGGUCGGUUCACAGGUGGUGCAUGGCUGUCGUCAGCUCGUGUCGUGAGAUGUUGGGUUAAGUCCCGCAACGAGCGCAACCCUUGUUCACUGUUGCCAGCACGUUAUGGUGGGGACUCAGUGGAGACCGCCGGGGUCAACUCGGAGGAAGGUGGGGAUGACGUCAAGUCAUCAUGCCCCUUAUGUCCAGGGCUUCACGCAUGCUACAAUGGCUGGUACAGAGAGUGGCGAGCCUGUGAGGGUGAGCGAAUCUCGGAAAGUCGGUCUCAGUUCGGAUUGGGGUCUGCAACUCGACCUCAUGAAGUCGGAGUCGCUAGUAAUCGCAGAUCAGCAACGCUGCGGUGAAUACGUUCCCGGG
Molecule: ribosomal RNA, 1343 nt
Filed under: uncultured bacterium
Lineage: Bacteria
Description: 16S ribosomal RNA
Rfam family: Bacterial small subunit ribosomal RNA
Source: RNAcentral